CCCACGGUCUGCAGAAUGGACCCCUCCUGAUCACAUUGCCAGUUACUGCAAAAUGUGGCUUCGCAAGCCCCUCGAAAAAGAACUCAGAAAUAAAUUGAGGGCUGAAUGCCCAAGACCUACUAUUCCGGGCAAAGUUGCCUCUACCCCUGAGUUCGACCUCAUGCUUGUCACUUUUUUGACUAAAUCUGGCAAAGACCCUCGUAAGGGUAUAGAGCAAGGGUUGAAAGCAGCCCAAGACAAGCUUUUGGACAUUUCAGGUCCUAUAAUCCAGAUUUUUAUCCUGGCAGAUGAGGCACUCACUAGUGGUGAAUUCGAUCCACACACUAUCAGAGAAUGGGCUCAGAGAGCUCUUUG
Molecule: non-coding RNA, 354 nt
Organism: Pelobates cultripes (western spadefoot toad)
Lineage: Eukaryota; Metazoa; Chordata; Amphibia; Anura; Pelobatidae
Source: the annotation of a GenBank genome assembly